GGGGAUGUAGCUCAGCGGGAGAGCACCUGCUUUGCAAGCAGGGGGUCAGCGGUUCGAAUCCGCUCAUCUCCACCA
Molecule: transfer RNA, 75 nt
Filed under: Coprothermobacter proteolyticus
Lineage: Bacteria; Pseudomonadati; Coprothermobacterota; Coprothermobacteria; Coprothermobacterales; Coprothermobacteraceae
Also listed under: 1 other name
Description: tRNA-Ala
Rfam family: tRNA
About the family: Transfer RNA (tRNA) molecules are approximately 80 nucleotides in length. Their secondary structure includes four short double-helical elements and three loops (D, anti-codon, and T loops).
Source: RNAcentral